This is a long non-coding RNA of Pygoscelis adeliae (Adelie penguin), 658 nucleotides long. RefSeq lists it as uncharacterized. NCBI's taxonomy places the organism in Eukaryota, Metazoa, Chordata, Aves, Sphenisciformes, Spheniscidae. The record is from RefSeq and is a predicted model, not a curated record. The transcript is spliced from 3 exons.
GAAAUGGCUAUCUUUCAUACCAGAAAAUCAACACUGAUGUUGGCAGCUGCUGUUAGUCUCAGAAAUCAAGUUUGAAAGGUCUGUCCAUACGAUCUUCUGUCAGAGCCUGCAAAGACCCUGACUGCUUUUUUCAUCACACCAUGGAAGCAAGCCAUCAAGGACAGGGACUCCUCAAACCAGCACAAUCACCACUGACUCCGAUCUGUCAAGUCACAGUCUGAUAAACCUGAACUAAAAAGCAGACAGUAGGCUGUCUUCUGUUGGAUGGAGCAUUCCCUGUAGCUCGAGACCUACUUCUGCAAGACUAGAAUAAAAUUUAUACUUUCUCAUGCCCAUGUUGCAGAAUCUCCUCUGCAGUUCCUCAGACAUUUUUCAACUUCACGUUCUUGCAUGAUAACCAUGGCUUUCUCAUUUUGCCAAAUAAUAUUCAAAAUGCAAUAAAGAAAAAGAUCUUUGCUGAGUAUGCAGGUACUGAGCAACUUCAAUGAUUAAAUUAUUCUACAAAUAUCAGUAAAAAGAAGCAAUAAAAAUACAAAAUCAUGUAGCAGAGUAUUAUCUAUUAUGCUAUUAUUUUGAAGACAGCUGCCAUCAAGAGAUAUAUAUCCAUAGUGAAAAUCAAUGCAAACAAAAUACAUCUAAUAAAUCUCUAUUAAUUUUU